Non-coding RNA from Gossypium raimondii (Peruvian cotton), 72 nucleotides. The record is from Rfam. Lineage: Eukaryota; Viridiplantae; Streptophyta; Magnoliopsida; Malvales; Malvaceae.
GGGUCCAUAGCUCAGUGGUAGAGCAUUUGACUGCAGAUCAAGUGGUCACCGGUUCGAAUCCGGUUGGGCCCU